UACCUUGACCGGCACCGGAACUGC
This 24-nucleotide non-coding RNA is filed under the name Arabidopsis thaliana (thale cress). Lineage: Eukaryota; Viridiplantae; Streptophyta; Magnoliopsida; Brassicales; Brassicaceae. The record is from RNAcentral.